RNAcentral lists this ribosomal RNA (485 nucleotides) under uncultured bacterium. RNAcentral describes it as "partial 16S ribosomal RNA". It matches the Rfam family "Bacterial small subunit ribosomal RNA", at positions 899 to 1397 of the family's 1533-position model. The record is from RNAcentral.
ACUCAAAGGAAUUGACGGGGACCCGCACAAGCAGUGGAGCGUGUUGUUUAAUUCGAUACAAAGCGAAAAACCUCACCAGGGUUUGACAUGUAUCUGCAAAGCCUAUGAAAGUAGGCCUUCUUCGAGAGUGAUACACAGAUGCUGCAUGGCUGUCGUCAGCUCGUGGCGUGAGCUGUCCCCUUAAGUGGGUAAACGAGCGCAACCCUCACCGUAUGUUAAAUAAUUCAUGCGGAACAGCCCCGAUUUUUCGGGGAGGAAGGCGAGGAUGACGUCAAGUCAGCACGGUUCUUACACCCUGGGCCACAAACACCCUACAAUGGCUAAGAACAACGAGUUGCAACCUAGCAAUAGGAAGCAAAUCUCUUAAAAUUAGCCUCAGUUCAGAUUGGGGUCUGCAACUCGACCCCAUGAAGUCGGAAUUGCUAGUAAUCGCGGAUCAGCGGGCCGCGGUGAAUACGUUCUCGGGUCUUGUACACACCGCCCGU